Molecule: long non-coding RNA, 500 nt
Organism: Misgurnus anguillicaudatus (oriental weatherfish)
Lineage: Eukaryota; Metazoa; Chordata; Actinopteri; Cypriniformes; Cobitidae
Source: RefSeq, a predicted model, not a curated record
GGGGCCGUGAUGCGCGCGAGCGUGGUGUGUGUGGGAGAACGCGGGGUGAUUGACGUUCAGUCGAGAUGGCGUCGAGUCAAGUGUGAGUGAGUUUUGACCAAAUUACUGCGGAAAACGUUAAUUAAACAAGAUUUUUUCAGAUCAGUUUGGAGCCAGGGCAUGUGCAGAAGGAAUCGUACGUGGAGCCUCGGUAUCAAACUUUCGCCCAAACGCUUGCAUGCCCAAUUCAACCACGCCCCUUGAACAUCUCAUUUGACUAGCUUGCUAAAAUGAGUGCUCUCAGAGAAGCUGUCAAUCACAAAUGUCAAUCAGGCAACAGGCAAUUACGUUAUAUGUCUCUCUGGAAAAUGGAAAACCCGGAAUGGAUGCCUUUACAGAACGCUUUGAGAGGUUUAUUUAUUCACACAGGAAUAUCCAGGUUUUACUCUGUAAAGUAACCAGCAAAGCUUAAAGGGGACAUUUCACAAGAUUUUUAAAAGUUUAAAUAUGUCUUUGGUGUC